GUUUUCUUUGGCUGGAGGCAGAAGAGGAAAUCUUAGAGAUUCCAAGCCUGAGAAGGACUCAACCCACAAUUACUGGCUUUGAGGAUGGAGCAAGGGGGCAAUGAGCCAAGGAAUACAGCCGGAAAACCAUUGGUACUUGCCCCAGGUAGGAGGAGGAGCAGAGAACAGAAGGUUUCUGUGGAGCUGCGUUAAUCACCAAGGAGAGGCAGAUGGCUCCAAGCCCACAGAGUGUGACCCAGAUGAAUUUCUUACAAGAAAUAUCUCAGAGGAAUAUUACCAGAGCUGGAGAUCUUCCACAUUCAGAUCCUACAUGUAUCUGUGGUGCU
This 326-nucleotide long non-coding RNA is filed under the name Homo sapiens (human). RNAcentral's name for it is "HSALNT0057725". The record is from RNAcentral. Lineage: Eukaryota; Metazoa; Chordata; Mammalia; Primates; Hominidae.